RNAcentral lists this transfer RNA (65 nucleotides) under Juniperus semiglobosa. RNAcentral describes it as "tRNA-Leu". RNAcentral also lists the same sequence under 1 other name. The record is from RNAcentral. Lineage: Eukaryota; Viridiplantae; Streptophyta; Pinopsida; Cupressales; Cupressaceae.
GGGAUAUGGCGGAAUCGGUAGACGCUACGGACUUAAAUCCGUUGGUUUUAUAGAUCGUGAGGGUU